This 76-nucleotide transfer RNA is filed under the name Shigella boydii. Its description in RNAcentral is "tRNA-Asn". It matches the Rfam family "tRNA". From Rfam's summary of the family: Transfer RNA (tRNA) molecules are approximately 80 nucleotides in length. Their secondary structure includes four short double-helical elements and three loops (D, anti-codon, and T loops). Lineage: Bacteria; Pseudomonadati; Pseudomonadota; Gammaproteobacteria; Enterobacterales; Enterobacteriaceae. The record is from RNAcentral.
UCUUCUGUAGUUCAGUCGGUAGAACGGCGAACUGUUAAUCCGUAUGUCACUGGUUCGAGUCCAGUCAGAGGAGCCA